AGUAACGGCGAGUGAAGCGGCAACAGCUCAAAUUUGAAAUCUGGCCUCUUUGGGGUCCGAGUUGUAAUUUGUAGAGGAUGUUUCGGGUACCGCCUCGGUUUAAAUUUCUUGGAACAGAAUGUCAAAGAGGGUGAGAAUCCCGUCUUGGACCGGCGGUAGGGCCCAUGUGAAACUCCUUCGACGAGUCGAGUUGUUUGGGA
Molecule: ribosomal RNA, 200 nt
Filed under: Exophiala pisciphila
Lineage: Eukaryota; Fungi; Ascomycota; Eurotiomycetes; Chaetothyriales; Herpotrichiellaceae
Description: partial large subunit ribosomal RNA
Rfam family: Eukaryotic large subunit ribosomal RNA
Source: RNAcentral